RNAcentral lists this long non-coding RNA (224 nucleotides) under Panax ginseng (ginseng). RNAcentral's name for it is "long non-coding RNA (PGIN_LNC018365)". The record is from RNAcentral. Lineage: Eukaryota; Viridiplantae; Streptophyta; Magnoliopsida; Apiales; Araliaceae.
ACACAUAUUCAACAGUCAUUGAAUCACAAACAAACAUUAAUACAGUCAAAAUAUCUAAGUCCGGAUCAAUUUCUGAAACAUGUCGGUGUACCGACGACUUUACCGGGUAAUUAUCGAGUCUAAGACUCUAUCAUGUAGUUCAACAUCUGUAAGUAUCAGUCAUAUUAUUUUUAAAUGACUUAUAAUAAUUUUUAAACAUUUAUUAUAAUUUAUCAUGAAUUUUC